This is an RNA transcript of Prunus persica (peach), 2079 nucleotides long. It is a transcript of the gene named chaperone protein dnaJ 13, with no coding region annotated. NCBI's taxonomy places the organism in Eukaryota, Viridiplantae, Streptophyta, Magnoliopsida, Rosales, Rosaceae. The transcript has 13 exons. The record is from RefSeq and is a predicted model, not a curated record.
AUUUACGUACGCGUCAAGGAAAGCGCAAAAACAGCGCCCCCGUGCAGAGUGUACUGUUUGAUAAGAUCAAGGAACAUACGAAGACCCAGGCUUUGGCCAAAAAACCCAUAAACCCCUAAAUUCAAAUGCCAUGGUUAAAUAAAAACUGCCACUUUCAGCACAUCCCUUAAACCUACAACACAGAGAGAGAGAGAGAUAGAGUUAAAAGAUGAAGGAAGAGGAAGAAGGACCCCCAGAUAGAGAGCUGUAUGCGCUGCUUCACAUUUCACCGGAUGCCUCCGAUGAAGAAAUCAAAAAAGCUUACAGGCAAUGGGCCCAAAUCUAUCAUCCUGAUAAAUGCCAAGCUCCUCAUAUGAAAGAUACUGCUACAGAAAACUUUCAGCGGGUAUCCCGUGCUUAUGAGAUUCUGUUGGAUGAGAAUAAAAGGAAGAUAUAUGACAUUUAUGGUAUGGAAGGGUUGACUUCUGGUUUGGAACUUGGGAAAAAACUGAAUAAAGCUGAAGAGUUAAAGGAAGAACUUGAGAGGUUACGGAAACUGAAGGAAGAACUUGAGAGGUUACGGAAACUGAAGGAACAAGAGGUCUCAGCACAUUUCCGACCUUCUGGUACAAUGUGGGCCGAUAUGUCUUUGCCGGACCUUUUGCAUGGUCAUGGCAUCAUGAGAGGGAUGGCUAUGACAAGUUCAGUCCAGUCUCACAUAUCAAAGCACAAUAUCCUUUCAAUUGGUGGAAAUUUGAAAGUUAAUGGGGACUCUGGCUAUGGAUAUUGGCUUUGGGCGUCAGAUUUCUUCAGUUUCUUCCAUAGAAUUCAUAGGUUCAGCUGGUUUAUGGCCACUUAUUGGGGUGCAGACAUCUCGUAACUUGUCAUCCCAUUUAACUGCAACAAUGGGACUUUCAAUGUCUUUGAGAGAUGGUUCGCUGAAUCUCUCCAAUACCUGGGUGCGACGACUAUCUGAAUCUACAAGUGGAAAUAUCCAGCUUGCUUUAGGCUCAGACUCAGCUCUUUCAGUAGGCUGGCGAAAGAAAAACGAGAAAUUGUCUGCUGCAGGACAGCUGAAGUGUGGGAUAGAUUCUUUUGCGGCAUCAGCUCAUUAUAAGCAUCGGUUUUCAUCAAAGUCUCGUGGUUGUAUUGCGGGGAAAGUUGGAAGCAAUGCCCUUGAGCUUGAAGUUGGCGUUGGGAGAAAGUUAUCUAAUUUAAGCAGCGUUCGCAUGUUGUAUUCAAUAGGGAUUCAGGGUAUCUCUUGGAAAUUCAAAUUGCGUCGUGGGGGCCAAAAGUUAGUUAUUCCUAUUUUGCUUUCCGGGGAUUUGGAUCCUGUAUUUGCAGCUGCAGCGGUCAUAAUUCCAACAUCACUUUACUUCGUACUCAAGAAAUUCGUUUUGAAACCUUAUUACCUUAAGAGGGAAAAGCAAAAGGCUUUAGAGAAUAUGGAGAAAACUUCUACACCGGUUCUAGAGGCAAGAGCAGCAGCAGACAAAGCUCAGAAGUUACUACAGAAUGUAGCGAAUAGGAAACAAAAUAGGCAGCUAGAAAUCGGGGGCCUGGUAAUCACAAAAGCAUGGUAUGGGAAUCUCAAAGCUUUGAAGAAAAGAGAUGAACUGGUAGAAUCGAAUGAUUCACCAGUCAUUGAUGUUAAAUUGCCCCUAAAUUUCCUUGUCAGUGAUUCUGGGCAACUGAAGCUUCAUGAAGGCGUAAAGAAGUCCGGCAUUAUGGGCUUCUGUGAUCCAUGUCCUGGAGAGCCUAAACAGUUGUAUGUGGAAUACACUUACGGUGAUGGGAGAUAUGAGGUUACCGUUGAUGAUUAUGACAAGUUGCUAAUACCUCAGGAAGAGCACAGAAUUUGAUUUUCAUUUCACCAUGUUUGAAUCUCAUUUGCUUACCUAUCACAGUUUGAAUGAUUUUACAAGCCUUGAGACAAAAUGAAAAGGUAUCGUAUUAGAUUUCCACCUUUUUCUCCCAUUACAACCGAUCCUUUUUAUCUUUUUCCUUGAAUAUUGUAUUUAAUUAGAAACCUGAAAAUAGGUUUCCCUGUGUAUUAUUCUUUUUGACAAAAAUUGAAAUAAAGGCCAUAUUUUUAUACCA